UUGACCUCAAAUCAGGUAGGACUACCCGCUGAACUUAAGCAUAUCAAUAAGCGGAGGAAAAGAAACUAACAAGGAUUCCCCUAGUAACUGCGAGUGAAGCGGGAAAAGCUCAAAUUUAAAAUCUGGCGGUCUUGCGGCCGUCCGAGUUGUAAUCUGGAGAAGCGUCUAUCCGCGUCGGACCGUGUACAAGUCUUCUGGAAGGGAGCGUCAUAGAGGGUGAGAAUCCCGUCUUUGACACGGA
This 241-nucleotide ribosomal RNA is filed under the name uncultured Piloderma. RNAcentral describes it as "partial 28S ribosomal RNA". It matches the Rfam family "Eukaryotic large subunit ribosomal RNA", at positions 1 to 234 of the family's 3401-position model. Lineage: Eukaryota; Fungi; Basidiomycota; Agaricomycetes; Atheliales; Atheliaceae. The record is from RNAcentral.